This 320-nucleotide unclassified non-coding RNA is filed under the name plant metagenome. RNAcentral describes it as "partial contains 5.8S ribosomal RNA, internal transcribed spacer 2, and large subunit ribosomal RNA". The stretch from base 1 to 105 matches the Rfam family "5.8S ribosomal RNA", at positions 50 to 154 of the family's 154-position model. The record is from RNAcentral.
GAAAUGCGAUACGUAGUGUGAAUUGCAGAAUUCAGUGAAUCAUCGAAUCUUUGAACGCACAUUGCGCCCGCCAGUAUUCUGGCGGGCAUGCCUGUUCGAGCGUCAUUACAACCCUCAGGCCCCCGGGCCUGGCGUUGGGGAUCGGCGGAAGCCCCCUGCGGGCACAACGCCGUCCCCCAAAUACAGUGGCGGUCCCGCCGCAGCUUCCAUUGCGUAGUAGCUAACACCUCGCAACUGGAGAGCGGCGCGGCCACGCCGUAAAACACCCAACUUCUGAAUGUUGACCUCGAAUCAGGUAGGAAUACCCGCUGAACUUAAGC